GAAACAAUAAACUCUAUUCUCCGUCUCAAAAAUAAGCUCAGUUUUCUUUCAAAAUUCCUCCACCUACCGUGUGGAUACUCUGGAUUUGGACAACAAAGGCUGGAUUUGGACAACAAAGGCAGAUGUGAAAUAGACAAUGGAGCCAAAUGAGAUAGACCUGUGAGUCCUGACCUGGGACAUUACCCCACCUACCAGCUUUACCUACUUGGCUAGGACACACCUUGAAGCACCUGGAAGGUGACUCUUGUUUUGACACCUUUCAGCUGUAUUUCAAGUGGGAGUCUUACAGGUGUUGAAGAUAGAAGAUGAAAGGUGUUUUAUGAAGUAGGCUCCAAAAUCAGAGUCAACUCUGCCAUACUCGUUGGUCAAAGCAAACCACAGGACCAGCCCAGAUUCAAGGAAGAGAGAAACAGACUGUACACUCUGAAGCACAUUGGAUGUCAUCAUGAGUUAAACCUCUCUUUCUCAGGGGAAAUGAUUUUAAAGCACAGAGGUAAUUUGAAUCCGUGAAAUUGAAGUUGAAUUGCAAAUAA
Non-coding RNA from Macaca mulatta (Rhesus monkey), 533 nucleotides. NCBI's taxonomy places the organism in Eukaryota, Metazoa, Chordata, Mammalia, Primates, Cercopithecidae. The record is from RefSeq and is a predicted model, not a curated record.